Molecule: ribosomal RNA, 476 nt
Filed under: uncultured bacterium
Lineage: Bacteria
Description: bacterial SSU rRNA
Rfam family: Bacterial small subunit ribosomal RNA
Source: RNAcentral
AGGACGAACGCUGGCGGCGUGCUUAACACAUGCAAGUCGAACGGAAAGGCCCUUCGGGGUACUCGAGUGGCGAACGGGUGAGUAACACGUGGGUGAUCUGCCCUGCACUUCGGGAUAAGCCUGGGAAACUGGGUCUAAUACCGGAUAUGACCUUGGGAUGCAUGUCCUUUGGUGGAAAGCUUUUGCGGUGUGGGAUGGGCCCGCGGCCUAUCAGCUUGUUGGUGGGGUUAAGGCCUACCAAGGCGACGACGGGUAGCCGGCCUGAGAGGGUGACCGGCCACACUGGGACUGAGAUACGGCCCAGACUCCUACGGGAGGCAGCAGUGGGGAAUAUUGCACAAUGGGCGCAAGCCUGAUGCAGCCGACGCCGCGUGAGGGACGACGGCCUUCGGGUUGUAAACCUCUUUCAGCACAGACGAAGCGCAAGUGACGGUAUGUGCAGAAGAAGGACCGGCCAACUACGUGCCAGCCGCGGC